CGGCCUUUGGCAGACAGGGCCAGCAGCUCUGAUUCACCUUCUGAUGCCCGUGAGGACAGGGAGAGAGCCACGACGCUACAGAUACUUAAGCUGGCCGGAGACAGGACGGGCGGCAGGACGCCGCCGCAGCUCUCCGCGUCCUCGGGGUCAGAGGACUCGCUGACCCAGUCCAGGUCGACGGCGGAGAUGUCUGAGUGUGUGCUGUAGUACAUGCGGCUGCCGCUGCCGCAGGCGGCGCAGAGGAUGGGCCCACGCAGGUAAUACUCCCUGAGCUCCGGCACCGUCGUCUCGUCCCUCUGGUCUGCCUUGACGGCCACCAUCUUCCCGUAGUGCCCCACGGCCACCACGCAGUCGCAGCCGGCGUCGCCAAAGAGCGCGUCGUCCUCGGCAUCCUCUUCCUCCUCCUCCUCCUCCUCC
RNAcentral lists this long non-coding RNA (417 nucleotides) under Gallus gallus (chicken). The record is from RNAcentral. Lineage: Eukaryota; Metazoa; Chordata; Aves; Galliformes; Phasianidae.